AGAUUGAGAGCAGGGUUUACUGAUUCCAUGACAGAUUGAGAGCAGGGUUUACUGAUUCCAUGACAGAGCAGGCCGACAGCAAUAACAACAUUGUUGAGAUUAGUAGUGACCAGGGCUCGUAGGAGUGCUGAUCUAGCAUCCGUUUUUGACUUUUAGAUCAUAAUGGUUAUAUGGACAGAUCCUAGAUCAAUACUCCUACUCUGAGGUCCUUUCUGGAUACAGACUGUGAUCUUAGCCAAACUGUGUUGGGUUGACAGUCGCUGGAUCGGGGUUCUAGUAGGAUCCCUAUGUUUGUUUACGUAAACUAUUCAUUGAUCAUUUAAAUUUGGUGAUCUAGUCAUUAGCUCUUGUUGCUGUUAUUUGUAAGGAUUUUACAGGGUAGGAUGAAGGUCUUUCAUUGGCCUGGACAUAACUACUGUCACGCAAUAUCUGAAUACUUGGUCAGAUGAAAUCAGGGAACGAGAUUUCUGGAUGAAUUUCUAUUUUAAUCCCUUCAUGACUAACAGGUUCAGACCCAUAUCAGGACUGACUUCACAGGAGUACUGUAGGUUAGCACUGUUGAUGAAUAUGAGGGUUUCAUCUCUCUUUAAAAAUAAUCAGUAUAUUCUCUGUUUCUUGUCUCUCUUUAUUGGGCUUUUAUUCAUUUCCAAAUGAUUCAUAAUUAAAGUUGGAUAAAUGAAUCAAGAAACAAGACCAAGACUUAAGCCCUUCUAUCUAUACAUGUUCAAAUUGUUUUAUCCUCCAAAUGUCUUUAUAUAAGUAGAUCCAUAGCCUACACAUGGUGUCUCCCAGUGAAUCAGGGGCUCCACCAGUUCCUAACCAGUCCUGUUGUAAACCAUAUCACCGCCCCUGUCAACCCUCCCAUGACAACACCUCCAAAACCACCUGUCAGAACCCCCAUCAACAACCCUGUCACUAUGGCGACGAAGAGCUCCAAUACGAUUCUCUGCCUGUCCUCCUUCCUCCACUGGUAUCUGUAGCGCUCCCUCUCCUCCACCUCAUUGGUCUGCACUGCCAAGAGAAAGACACACCCUUCUUUACUCACAGGGGGAAACAGUCACCAAGGUGAAAUAGAUCUAUGUUCUUUGAGGGAAGUGUAUGAAAAAUAACCUCCUAAAUAUUAUAUUGUUCUGUAUUUUACUGCAUUUUAAUUAUUGUGAAUAAGUAUAAUUAAGUAAAUGGCCCAGAUGAUUUAUUCAACAUAUUUCACACAUCACUGCUAGGUGGAGAGCUUUCACUAAAACACUGAUAAGGAGAUAUUUCUAUUAAUGGAGAAAGAUGAAGUAGCCUAGACACUGAUCGGAGGUCAGCUUUAGUGUUUUCGUUCUAUAAAGGGGUCCUGACAGGAUUGGAUAGGUUGGAGAAAGAUGAAGUAGCCCCCAUACACUGAUCUGAGGUCAGUUUUGUGUUUUGGGCCUGUAAGUAGGCCCUGACAGGAUUGGAUAGGUUGGUGAAAGAUGAAGUAGCCCCCAUACACUGAUCUGAGGUCAGUUUUGUGUUUUGGGCCUAUAAGUUGGCCCUGACAGGAUUGGAUAGGUUGGAGAAAGAUGAAGACGCCCCUAGACACUGGUCUGAGGUCAGUUUUGUGUUUCAGUCUUAUAAAGGCAUUGACAGGAUUGGAUAAGUGCAAUCAAGGUGUAGAAAUAUUCACAGAGCCUUUCAAAGAGUAAGGUGGAACUACAGUGUAGCUUUAAUACAGGUCCUAAUGGCUGUCCUAGGAUCAGAUUACCUGACUAAAUACUAACCAAACCCUUAAAGAGUAAUGUGGAACUACAGUGUAGCUUUAAUACAGGUCCUAAUGGAUAUCCUAGGAUCAGAUUACCCAACACAGUAGAGGGUUUUUUCUGGAGUUUUAAUUAUUUUCCUCUCAAGUAGUGAAAUUAACUCAUUCUAAUUAUUACCAGCAGCCGCUAGAGUGGGAGCAAAAAUACUGAUUCUAUUCUAAAUUCUAUUGGAGUAAAACAGCAUGACCAC
Oncorhynchus tshawytscha (Chinook salmon) is the source of this 1974-nucleotide long non-coding RNA. NCBI's taxonomy places the organism in Eukaryota, Metazoa, Chordata, Actinopteri, Salmoniformes, Salmonidae. The record is from Ensembl.